UCGAUUCCCUUAGUAGCGGCGAGCGAAACGGGAAGAGCCCAAACCAACAAGCUUGCUUGUUGGGGUUGUAGGACACUCUAUACGGAGUUACAAAGGACGACAUUAGACGAAUCAUCUGGAAAGAUGAAUCAAAGAAGGUAAUAAUCCUGUAGUCGAAAAUGUUGUCUCUCUUGAGUGGAUCCUGAGUACGACGGAGCACGUGAAAUUCCGUCGGAAUCUGGGAGGACCAUCUCCUAAGGCUAAAUACUCUCUAGUGACCGAUAGUGAACCAGUACCGUGAGGGAAAGGUGAAAAGCACCCCGGAAGGGGAGUGAAAUAGAACCUGAAACCGUGUGCUUACAAGUAGUCAGAGCCCGUUAAUGGGUGAUGGCGUGCCUUUUGUAGAAUGAACCGGCGAGUUACGAUUUGAUGCAAGGUUAAGCAGUAA
Molecule: ribosomal RNA, 427 nt
Filed under: Staphylococcus aureus
Lineage: Bacteria; Bacillati; Bacillota; Bacilli; Caryophanales; Staphylococcaceae
Description: partial 23S ribosomal RNA
Rfam family: Bacterial large subunit ribosomal RNA
Source: RNAcentral